Molecule: ribosomal RNA, 404 nt
Filed under: Verrucomicrobiota bacterium
Lineage: Bacteria; Pseudomonadati; Verrucomicrobiota
Description: Verrucomicrobia bacterium partial 16S ribosomal RNA
Rfam family: Bacterial small subunit ribosomal RNA
Source: RNAcentral
UGGGGAAUAUUGCACAAUGGGGGAAACCCUGAUGCAGCGACGCCGCGUGAGCGAAGAAGGCCUUCGGGUCGUAAAGCUCUUUUAUGAGGGAAGAUAAUGACGGUACCUCAAGAAAAAGCCCCGGCUAACUACGUGCCAGCAGCCGCGGUAAUACGUAGGGGGCUAGCGUUGUCUGGAAUCACUGGGCGUAAAGGGUUCGCAGGCGGAAUAACAAGUCAGAUGUGAAAGGCAUGGGCUCAACCCAUGUAAGCAUUUGAAACUGUAAUUCUUGAGAAGUGGAGAGGUAAGUGGAAUUCCUAGUGUAGCGGUGAAAUGCGUAGAUAUUAGGAGGAAUACCUGUGGCGAAGGCGACUUACUGGACACAAAUCUGACGCUGAGGAACGAAAGCGUGGGUAGCAAACAGG